This 68-nucleotide transfer RNA is filed under the name Plutella xylostella (diamondback moth). RNAcentral describes it as "tRNA-Ser". The record is from RNAcentral. Lineage: Eukaryota; Metazoa; Arthropoda; Insecta; Lepidoptera; Plutellidae.
GCCCACUGGUGCAGUGGUGACCCUGACUGCUAAGCCAAAGGUCCCGGGUUCGAUUCCCGGCUGGGGCA